Molecule: ribosomal RNA, 460 nt
Filed under: uncultured bacterium
Lineage: Bacteria
Description: partial 16S ribosomal RNA
Rfam family: Bacterial small subunit ribosomal RNA
Source: RNAcentral
CCUACGGGUGUCAGCAGUGAGGAAUAUUGGUCAAUGGGCGGAAGCCUGAACCAGCCAAGUAGCGUGCAGGAUGACGGCCCUACGGGUUGUAAACUGCUUUUAUACGUGAAUAACGCGCCUUACGUGUAGGGCUUUGCAUGUACCGUAUGAAUAAGGACCGGCUAAUUCCGUGCCAGCAGCCGCGGUAAUACGGAAGGUCCGGGCGUUAUCCGGAUUUAUUGGGUUUAAGGGGAGCGUAGGCCGCAUGUCAAGCGUGCUGUGAAAUGUCCGGGCUCAACCCGGGCCUUGCAGCGCGAAUUGGAGUGCUUGAGUCCGCGGAAAGCAGGCGGAAUGCGUGGGGUAGCGGUGAAAGGCUUAGAGAGGACGAAGAACUCCGAGUGCGAAGGCAGCUUGCUGCAGCGGAACUGACGCUGAUGCUCGAAAGCGCGGGUAUCGAACAGGAUGAGAUACCCCUGUAGUC